Molecule: long non-coding RNA, 1493 nt
Organism: Cryptomeria japonica (Japanese cedar)
Lineage: Eukaryota; Viridiplantae; Streptophyta; Pinopsida; Cupressales; Cupressaceae
Exons: 3
Source: RefSeq, a predicted model, not a curated record
UAAAGGCCUUAAAUACUUUGUCAGCAUUCUUCACGCCUGCGCAAAGUCCAUCAAAAUAGAACAAAUAACAGGAAAUAUACAAAAUGGGUUCGUUGAAAACGCUUUAGAAAGUUGGAAGCGAAGUCAAUUGGGAGGAGAAGAAAGCCCAAUUCCACAACCUUUGACAGCACCUCAGAGCAUAAAUUAAUAGAGGAUUUUCUUCAGAAAGGGUGUGUAUGUGGAGAAGAGAGUGGAGGGAGGAAUAUAGUUUGAUGAGGUGAGGAGGAUUUACAGGAAAAUGAGUUUCAGAGCUUCUUUGAGAGUGCCUUGGAUGAGAAUGAAGUUGGUUAGUGGUGAUGGAUUCCUAUUUACUACAAAUCUUUGGAGAAGGAGAUCUACUGUAAGAGAAAUGAGGUGAAAUUUUAUAACAAGCUCCUAGAUCUUGUGCAGCAGAGGCGGGAAGGAGGCCUGGCAGACAUAAUAUCUUGCCUUAGGGUUGAUCUCAUCCAAAACCUCGGGAAUAUGUGUAAUCCACAACUUCAUACGCCCAGAUUACAGGUAGUUCUUGGACGAGGAUGCUCUUGUGACCUCAAUAUCAGAGAGUGGUUUAGCAAGGGAUAACUCCAAGAUAUUUUGAAGAAGAUUGUUGUUGUUACACUCAACAAUUAUUUCAGCUACAACAAAUGGAUUAUGGUUGCUAAAUUCUUCUGCAGCUGAUUGCAUCAACCAGGUAAUUUAUAUUUUCUGCAGAUUGCUUUCCAACUAUUUGACGAAAUGUCUACUUUCAGAUUGUUGGACAACUGUUUGGCACAGUUCUUGGUUUAAGUAUUGAAGAGAUUGAAUUGAUUAUCAUUCAAAAUUGUAAUAAAUUGAACAGAUUUACUACCAAUUAGAAAUAGCGUUGAUAUUACAAGACAUUGGAUGGCUCACCCUCAGAUCCUCUUUGAUUUGCAUAUAAUUCUGUCAUUUUGGUGUUGAUUCAGAAUCAGAUGAUAUUGUAUGCCAUUUUAACAUUAACACAUUUCCGCUUGUUAUCAACCAGUUUGGCAUUGAUUGGAAUUUGUAUGUCAUUAUCUACCAUUUUGACAUUGAUUGAUUCUACUAGUUGCUCUGGUAAAACUAUUUGUAAUCCGGAUGGCUAGCCUCCAUUAAGUUGCAUUGUUUUGUUUUAUGUCUUCAUUCUGGUCUCCAUAUGCUCUCACCUUGCCUACGUCAAGAUCUUGGUGAUCAGGAAGAGAAAGGGUUAGAGUUGAUUUGAAGAUUUGGUGAAUCAUGAGUAACACCCCUACCAGGGAUAUUACAACCUUGUUGUCUAUAUUGUUGUCUAUCUAAAUAAAUGAUACGACAAACCAAGUAUUAAUGAAUUGAAACUUGACAAAGUGAAGUCAUGAAACCAUAAGCAGAAUCAUGUCAAUUCUAGUCAACGUGUCAUUUUGUUGUCUAAAUACUGAAUUUACUUUGCUAUGUCUUCAAAGAUUAUUAUAAAUUUAUUUGAGAUGUCUAACUAAUUUUCU